RNAcentral lists this ribosomal RNA (438 nucleotides) under uncultured bacterium. RNAcentral's name for it is "partial 16S ribosomal RNA". It matches the Rfam family "Bacterial small subunit ribosomal RNA", at positions 339 to 795 of the family's 1533-position model. The record is from RNAcentral.
CUACGGGAGGCUGCAGUGGGGAAUAUUGCACAAUGGGGAAACCCUGAUGCAGCAACGCCGCGUGGAGGAUGACGCAUUUCGGUGUGUAAACUCCUUUUAUAUAGGAAGAUAAUGACGGUACUAUAUGAAUAAGCACCGGCUAACUCCGUGCCAGCAGCCGCGGUAAUACGGAGGGUGCAAGCGUUACUCGGAAUCACUGGGCGUAAAGCGCGCGCAGGCGGCCUUUUAAGUUGGAUGUGAAAGCCUAUGGCUUAACCAUAGAACUGCAUCCAAAACUAUCAGGCUAGAGUCUGGGAGGGGAAGAUGGAAUUAGUUGUGUAGGGGUAAAAUCCGUAGAGAUAACUAGGGAUACCAAAAGCGAAGGCGAUCUUCUGGAACAGUACUGACGCUGAGGCGCGAAAGCGUGGGGAGCAAACAGGAUUAGAUACCCCGGUAGUC